Mytilus trossulus (common blue mussel) is the source of this 200-nucleotide long non-coding RNA. RefSeq lists it as uncharacterized. Lineage: Eukaryota; Metazoa; Mollusca; Bivalvia; Mytilida; Mytilidae. The record is from RefSeq and is a predicted model, not a curated record. The transcript has 3 exons.
CGGAGACCAACUGGUUAGUUACGUUUGCUUGGGGCUCUAAGUUUUACCGAAAUAAAGAUAUUGGGGAUGUCGAUGCUUAUCGUUGUUAUAUUCAUGUUAGUUGUGGCACCAAUAAAGUGUGGUCAAGAUUGUCUUUCGUGCACUGGUAUUGAAACUGCAGGCGAUUGUGAUCGACGUGAGACAUGCAAAGAUGAUGAGGU